CCCUUAGAUGUUCUGGGCUGCACGCGCGCUACACUGAUGCAUCCAGCGAGUUGUAACCUUGCUUGGUAAAGUUUGGUAAUCUGAGGCUAAUGUGCAUCGUGAUGGGAAUAGAGUUUUGCAACUAUUAGUCUUGAACGAGGAAUUCCUCGUAAGCACGAGUCAUCAGCUUGUGCUGAUUACGUCCCUGCCCUUUGUACACACCGCCCGUCGCACCUACCGAUUGAAUGGUCCGGUGAAGCCUCCGGAUUGCGCGCGCCUCCGGGCCGCACGAGAAGUUGGCUAAACCUUACCAUUUAGAGGAAGGUGAAGUCGUAACA
This 317-nucleotide ribosomal RNA is filed under the name uncultured eukaryote. Its description in RNAcentral is "partial 18S ribosomal RNA". It matches the Rfam family "Eukaryotic small subunit ribosomal RNA", at positions 1470 to 1796 of the family's 1831-position model. The record is from RNAcentral.